CCUGUGAGUAUCAGCAGGUUUGUGAGCUCAGUAAAUUAGCUGAAAGCCAAGCAUGCAGUCCAACAAGUAAUGAUUCUGUAAAACAGGAAAGAUUUCUGAAGACUGAACAUUAAACAUGACCUGAAAUACUUUUUCCAGUCAGAUUCAAGUCAUAUUUGUUUGUGGUUUGUGGACAUUAGUGCACAUCGCUGCUCGACGUCAACAAGAACAACAUCCGGAGCAAGAUGAAGAUUUUGCCAUGGAUUACAUUUUAUGAGAGGUGGCCUGCAUUUUUUUGCUAUACACUCAGAUCUGGGCGUGACUGGACCCGGAAGCACGUCUCUUUCCAAAAGAACUAAUUUAGGGGUUUUACAGCAAUGGGGGUAAAUACUUAUGAAAUCACAAUUUUUACGAUUUUGGUUGUAAAUAAAUUUGCAAACUAUAUUGUUUUUCUAUUCUGUUCUGUGUAGAUUCAUGACAUACUCUCACCACCCACUUUAUUAGGAACACCCGUACACCUGCUCAUUCAUGAUAUUAUCCAAUCAGCCAAUCAUGUAGACACAGUGUAAUGUAUCAAAUCAUUCUGAUACAGGACAAGAGCUUCAGUUAAUGUUCACAUCAAACAUCAGAAUGGGGAAUAAAUCUCAGUGACUUUCACAGUCACCUGUUUCUUUUCCGAGCUUCAACUGUCCAUACCCUGUGCCCACUGUAGCCUCCUGUUCUUCUCCUGUAGAUUCCUGGUCUUGGCUGACAGCAGUGGAACCUAAUGUGGUGGUCUGCUGUUGUAGCCCAUCCCCCUCAAGGUUUGAUGUGUGGUGCAUUUUGAGAUGCUUUUCUGCUUACCACAGUUGUAAAGAGUGCUUAUUUAAGUUACCACCCUGACCCAGUCUGGCCAUUUCCCUCUGACCACUCUCAUCAACAAGGCUUUUCCGCUUGCAGGACUCCCGUUCACUGGAAUUUUUUUUUUUUUGCACCAUUUUGUGUAAGUGUGAAAAUUCCUGGUGAUCAGCAGUUUCUGAAAUAUUCAAACCAGCUUGUCUGACACCAACAACCAUGCCAUGGUUAAAAUCACUGAGAUCUCUUUUUUCCCCAUUCUGAUGUUCAAAAACAUCAAUGUGUGAACAUUAACUGAAGAGCUUGGACUUGAUCUGUUCCUAAUAAAGUGGAUGGUGCACAUAUAAUCCCAAUUAAGUCCAUUUCAUUUCCAGGUUGUAACACUAUGGAAAAUGUGGACACGUUUAAAGGGGAGAAUACUUAUACAAGGCACUGUAUAUGGGUACAUGGCUUUUUUGAUUAUUAACUGAAGUCUGUUCAUCUGUUUUGUCAGAGAUAUGUGUUUGGUCCUGCGCAUAUCUCUAUUACUAUAGCAAACACUAUGGAUAUGUGAGCCAAUAUGAUGACAGUCUGAACAAACAUCACAUUGGCUCACUAUAAUUUGCAAUAAGAACAGCUUUAAAAUCUGUUUUCUAAGUUUCUCUACUGUGUGAACAAUGUCUUAGAGGCACAGUGAAGGAGAAUGAGCAGUGUGUGAGGGAGAUACAGUAUAUAGUCUAUAAUUGUUUGUUAGGGAGAGCUGGCUGGACACUGGAGCUAACUAGUGCUGGCAGUGCUCAUCAAUGAAGUCUGGCUGUCAGAGUGGCUCUAAAUCAAUCAGCAGAUCAGCCUCGAAAAGUGCAGCAGCAAUCCUUCUGGCUCUGUCCUCAUGCUCAACCCUGACGAGCAAAAAAGCAGAAAGAAAGCAGAUUUUUCCUCUCACCACUGACGAGAAGAGGAAGUGGACCGAUUUCAGGUGCUUCAGAAACUGGCAAAUGUGUGACACAAAUGAGGUGGGUGUAAAAACAAUAAAAGAUAUCCGGUGAAAUGUGGUUAGAAAGGCUGGAAUGGGUGCCUGGUGCCUUAGAUGUGGUUCUUUAGUAAGCUAACGUCCAUGUGAACCAGUCACACGUAACUUCCAGCAGCUGGUUACGAUCACAUGUGGAACGUGUUAGAUCUCAUUUACUUCUGCUCGGUUCCAGGUGCAAUCCAACAAAUUUUAUAUCAUUAAUAAAGCUCCUGCAUUCAUAUGAGUAUGAUUGAUCAUCAUCAGAUCAGAAGAGCUAUAAAGAAAUUAAUCUGCCCCUAUAUCAGUUUCGCAUGGACACAUGGUUAACGUAUGAUGAUGGAACCAACAGCCAUGGCGGAAGCAGACUUCAGCUUUUUGCCGAAACCCUGGCAGCUGCAGUGCUGCUCUAGUGCCAGCUGUUAGUCACAUCUGUUUCACCUGAUAAGGCCCCCGGGGAACACCAGACAGCUUUAUAUGUACGCCUACCACUUUAAGGUUUAAUAGAUUAUUCUUUAAACGGUAUUGAGGAAGGAAACGAGCUUCUCUUACGGCUACAGCUGCUGCCAGGCCAAGUGUUCUCAGAAACACUCAAGGCGGGGAAGGUAAGCAAAAGAGCCACUAGUGACAAACAGGCAGGAGGCAGCCUGUCUGUGUCAAUAGCAGACAGGCACCUGAUGAAGCCGUGAGAAUGGCACCGAGGAGCCAGACUAACACCAACUGGCCAGUUUACCUGACUGACACUGUCAGGUGAACAGUCUAGAGACAGGCGAUAAUCAAAGCCUGGCACACUGACACGGAGAAGCUGAAACUUUUUCAAUACAUGGCCCAACAUACUAGAAUUUGCCAGAUGUAGAUGAAAAAAUAAUGAUAUAAAUACACUAACCGGCCAUUUUAUUAGGAAUACCUGUACGUCUACACGUUCAUGCAAUUAUACAAUCAGGCAACUAUGUGGCAGUGGCACAAUUCAAUUAUCAUACAUAUACAGGUCAAUACAGGUCAAGAGCUUCAGUUAAUAUUCACAUCAAAUAUCAGAAUGGUGAAUAAGGUUAUCUCAGUGACUUUUGCCAUGGCAUGGUUGGUGGUUCAGAAAAUGCUGAUCUCCUUACACACGACAGUCUCUACAUAACAAAAAACAUCCAGUCAGCAGCAGUCAAUAAAUUCAGACAUACUGUUUAACUGUAUAUAUAUAUAUAUAUAUAUAUAUAUAUAUAUAUAUAUAUAUAUAUAUAUAUGUGGGGAUAUAUAUAUAAUAUAUAUAAAAUGGAAAUAUUUCACAUUUUUACCUAAUAAUACACAUCCAUCACUGACCUCUGUAAUAGACACUGACAUUUAAUGAAAGCCUGUAUAGAAUUUUUAUAUCUUUGAUAUUAGACUUUUUUAACAAUCCUUCAUCUAAUAUGUUAACAAACCCAUACGGUAAUUUUGCUUUAAAUAUGGAAAUAUAAACACCUUUACUCUUAUAAACUCUUAAAGCGUAAAAUCUUACGCUUUCACAAAAGAAAGACAUCUACCUCAAACCACACAGUGGUUUUAGUUACUGAUAGAACCAAGGAACUUGAGAAAACAUUAGCUAAGGCUAACUAAAAACAGCUUCAUUCCUAGUCUCUCAAAUGUAAGCUGGCAUGAUAAUAACUACACUAGCUCUAUGAUAAUAGCUAGCUGUCACAAUUCAAAAUGCCUGGAUAAAUACAAAGUGUGCAUAGCAACCGACAGAUUACAGUGAUGUGUAGGUCCCAUUCUCAUUGUCGCAUCUGUUAAACUGUAGAUUUGUUAGGAAAUGAAACUCCUUGAAGCAGUCUGAUGUGAAAAAUUCAUCUUAUGACUUAUGAAAUAUAUAGAGAAAUGUAGCAAUGUUGUAGCAACAAAAAUCCAGAUACUUUAAAAAAAACAUUUAUGCUUCUCAGUAAGAGCAUGAUCAUAUCUUUUUGAAUCAAAAUCUGUUAUUAAGUUAACCUGCUGGAUUUUAUAGCGUUGAACUCCGGCGUGGCAAAAGCGGCUGGUGCUCAACCCAAAUAAACUGUGCUGGGUUUGUUCUUCUUGUGUCUGUUUUUAUGAUGGGGAUCAAUAUUGACAGAGGUGUACUGUUGGCCAACCAUGAUCAUUGCCUUUCAUUUCUCCUCACUUUUUUGUUUGAGAGAGGAUGAAUAGAGUCGGGCUGGCUCCACUCAGUGGGGGAAGGAGGUCAUGUGAGGCCCAAAUCUGGGCCAGAGAUGAAGGUCGGCCUGUGUUUGCUGUUCAGGUCUGGCCUUGGCGGCGGCUGGCACUCAGGCCUUUCCCUGGCCUGUUCUCUGCCAGUGACCGGAGCAGACCUGAUGUAGGAGCCCCUGAGGGCCUCUAGCCAGGGCAGAGCUAAACACAGCGGCCAUGACGGAUGGCUCUGGGCUCGGACAGGAACUGUGGAGCUCAGGUGUGAAGACAAGAUGACCUUAAGGGAGUCAACAAGUCUGAACCAGAGACACUCAUGGACUUGUAUUGAGAGGCUUACAGGGAUGAAGGACGAGAAACGAGGCGCAGCAGCAGUGCAAGCUUCACACACCUCCACUGGCUCUCGUUUGAUCCGUCUGUGCUGCCUGAGCAAAGGAACUGUGGAAGAGAACACACGAGCACCAGGCGUGUCUGCUUCCACUGCUCCCAGAUUAGAGUUUCAUCUUCUAAAUGUCUUAUUAUUCACUGUGCUGUCUCGCUCCCCUUCUCUAAUUAGCACCUGUUCUUUUUUACUCACAACCGAUGCCAUGUUCCACCUGUGACAAAAAGAAAAGAGAGGGAGAGGACGGAGGGAUGGAGAUGAGAAGGGACUCAGAACGCCAGAGCGGAGGGGAGGAUGAAGGCAAUUGUCACAUCUGAUCUGCAGCAAGAUCCAGAGACAUGCAAUGUGGAAGCACACACUCGCUGUGGUGUGUAGGCCUUUGAAAGAAGAAAGUGCUGUAGAGAACUGAGAGAAACGGGAAAGAGAUGAAGUGAAAGAUGCACAUUUUUCACAAGAAGAUGGCUGUUUGAUUGUGACCCACAUUUGUCCCUGUGAAUUAAUACAAACGAGCAGCACAGAGUUGUCUCAAUGCAUGUUUCAUUUGUUUAAGGCCGUCGCCUGCAUGUGUAACGGCUUUGCAAGUUUGACAUGGCGUCUUAUAAAACACGCUACAUUUACAAAUGCAGGAAGAAACUGCAACAGCAUGAGCAAAAGUCACAAUAAAUAUGCAAGCUGAUAAAUCGUAUGUCAAAAUAUAUAUACAUCAACGUAAAGCAUUCAUUUCAGCCUACAUGUGCAGAAAUGCUAUUUAGGAAUACAAAUAAUAAUGCAGUAAAUAAUACAGCAUAAAAGUAAAAACAAUCACAACAGUUGUUGCAGAGUUGUUGUCAAUUCCAGAUUUAAUGGCACCCUCCAUGACUGUGAGCAAAAAAUAAAUAUGCCAUAUAAUAUUAA
Pangasianodon hypophthalmus (striped catfish) is the source of this 5222-nucleotide long non-coding RNA. RefSeq lists it as uncharacterized. The transcript has 2 exons. The record is from RefSeq and is a predicted model, not a curated record. NCBI's taxonomy places the organism in Eukaryota, Metazoa, Chordata, Actinopteri, Siluriformes, Pangasiidae.